Phoenix dactylifera (date palm) is the source of this 1545-nucleotide RNA transcript. It is a transcript of the gene named S-adenosyl-L-methionine-dependent methyltransferases superfamily protein, with no coding region annotated. The record is from RefSeq and is a predicted model, not a curated record. Lineage: Eukaryota; Viridiplantae; Streptophyta; Magnoliopsida; Arecales; Arecaceae.
AAAGAAAGGAAUUAGGUAUUCCGAUUCCAUUUUUCUAUUAGCCCUCGACCCAGACACGGAGAAUAGGGCAGCGACGGUCUGACGGGACCGUAAAGUGCUAUGCGUACAGAUACGGAAGGCAGAAUUUCUGCGCCCUUUCGCUUCUCCCUCCGAAGCCUGAUCUCCUCCCGUGUAACCCAGGUGAAUCUCGAGAACUGCGGAACCGGGGUUUCUUGGGCUGCGGCUGCCGCCGGCGGAGAGGGCUUCGAUGGAGGACGACAGGUUGAAUUCGCCAAGCACAUCAGUUGUCACACUUGAAGUUCUGGGACAUCACCUGCGUUUAUCUCAGGAUCCCAACUCCAGGCAUCUAGGUACUACAGUUUGGGACGCAUCGAUGGUAUUUGUGAAAUUUCUGGAAAAAAACUGCAGAAAAGGAAGGUUUAGCCUGCCCAAGUUGAAAGGAAAACGUGUGAUUGAACUAGGAGCUGGUUGUGGUCUAGCUGGACUAGGAAUGGCACUCCUUGGAUGUGAUGUAAUUUCAACAGACCAAGCUGAGGUGUUACCAUUGCUCAUGAGAAAUGUUGAGCGCAAUAAUUCUUGGAUCAUGCAGACAAAUCCUGAUUCAGCAUCAUUUGGCUCCAUUAAGGCUGCAGAGUUGGACUGGGGAAAUAAAGAACACAUUAAAGCUGUUAAUCCUCCGUUUGAUUACAUUAUUGGCACCGACAUUGUUUACUCAGAGCAUCUAUUGGAGCCACUACUGCAGACAGUUUUGGCCCUAUCGGGACCUAGAACGACCAUACUGAUAGGCUAUGAGAUCCGCUCCACCACAAUCCAUGAAGAGAUGAUUCGCAUAUGGAAGGACAAUUUUAUAGUAAAAACCAUCCCCAAGGCAAAGAUGGAUAACAAGUUCCAACACCCCAGCAUACAACUUUUCAUGAUGGAGUUAAAAACUCAAUCUAGAUGCGGAGACGACCACUCUGUUGAAGCACAAAUUUCUGAGUCUAGUCGAAGUGAUGAGGAUAGUGAAGCCUGUGCGGUGGAAGAAAGGGAAGAUAUUGGGGAGAAGACUGGAGACAGUAUUAAGGCUAUGGAAUUGGAAAAGGGGAAAGUUGAUGACUGGGAAAUUAGAAGAUAUGGAUCUAUGGCUGCACGGCUUUUACGAGAUGUCAAAAUAACUUGAAGUUGUUAGGAUUUCUUCUUUGCUCCUUAGACUAAUGCUAAUUGUAUGGAGCCUGGUACUACCGAUCCAAGUUAAGGUUUCCUGAUUACCUUUGGGUCUUACUGGCUUUCCAUGUCUUGAAUUGAAGCCAAUUAGUAAGACGAACCACCUGAAGAGUUGAUGCAUGCAUGCUGUGGCGAGAAUUUGUAAGACAAAAGUGGCACUCAUGUCGAACAAAAGAAGAGCAAUGCAUCAUCGCAAACUAGGGAGUUUAGUGUGGUCGUUUGCAAUUUGUAGGGUUUGAGCCAUACCACGUAAGGCUCGAUGGCCCUGGUAUUGUUCUAUCUUUGGACUUAUCAGGUUUGAGUAUGGGUUUCCCAUUCUAAUUAAAAUCAUAUUUGCUCCAA